Molecule: ribosomal RNA, 113 nt
Filed under: Leptotrombidium deliense
Lineage: Eukaryota; Metazoa; Arthropoda; Arachnida; Trombidiformes; Trombiculidae
Source: RNAcentral
GUCUACGGCCAUACCAUGUUGAAAAUACCAGGUCUCGUCCGAUCGCUGAAGUUAAGCAACGUCGGUACUAGUCAGUACCUGGGAGGGAGACCAUAAUGUCUCAAUUAUGAACU